RNAcentral lists this ribosomal RNA (494 nucleotides) under uncultured bacterium. Its description in RNAcentral is "partial 16S ribosomal RNA". It matches the Rfam family "Bacterial small subunit ribosomal RNA", at positions 30 to 523 of the family's 1533-position model. The record is from RNAcentral.
AUUGAACGCUGGCGGCAGGCCUAACACAUGCAAGUCGAGCGGAAGGGGCUUCGGCCCCGAGAGCGGCGGACGGGUGAGGAUAGCGUGGGAAUCUGCCUGUAGAUGGGGGAUAGCCCGGAGAAAUCCGGAUUACUACCGCAUAAUACCUAAGGGUUAAAGUGGAGGAUCGCAAGACUUCACGUCUACAGAUGAGCCCACGUCAGAUUAGCUAGUUGGUAGGGUAAAGGCCUACCAAGGCGACGAUCUGUAGCUGGCCUGAGAGGGUGGCCAGCCACACUGGAACUGAGACACGGUCCAGACUCCUACGGGAGGCAGCAGUGGGGAAUAUUGGACAAUGGGCGCAAGCCUGAUCCAGCCAUGCCGCGUGUGUGAAGAAGGCCUUCGGGUUGUAAAGCACUUUAAGUUGGGAGGAAGGUUCCAAGGCUAAUACCUUUGGGAAUUGACGUUACCGACAGAAUAAGCACCGGCUAAUUCCGUGCCAGCAGCCGCGGUAA